CCUGAGCUCCUUCCCUCAAGAAUGUUUUGGAGGGCGAUUGCCUGAAGAUUGUUUCCUUCUUGCUAGGUCUUCGGAGGAAACAAAGUCGGUGAGCCUUUCUGCAGCAGCAAUUGCCCCGACCACAUCGGUAACAUUCCUUCGAUUUAGCUCCUGUUGAGCCCAUGGUUUCAAACCAUCGAGGAAGCUGAACAACUUGUCCUUCUCGGACAUGUCUUGUAUGUCAAGCAUUAGUGCAGAAAAUUGUUUCACAUAGUCUCGGAUGGUGGUACUUUGGCGGAGUUGUCUCAACUUCCUUCUUGCGAAGAACUCUAUGUUCUCCGGUAGGAACUGAGUUCUCAACUCCCGCUUCAAGUCCUCCCAUGUGUCGACUCAACACCGACCUUGUUGGAUCUCCUCCUAACGGGUUCGCCACCAAAGUUUCGCAUCUCCGUUCAGAUACAUUGUUUUAUCUUCAAAAUUAGGCCUCGUAGCUCGGAAGUAUUAUUCCAUGUCGAACAGAAAGUUCUCGAGCUCUUUGGCAUCUCUAGCCCCUCCAUAUCCAUGAGGCUUAGGUGCCCUCAAAUUUUGUGGCGGUGCAACGCGGGUGUUACUUCCUCCCACAUUUAGUGUUCUUGUGAACAUGGCCACCUUUGCAGUGAGUUCC
This 643-nucleotide long non-coding RNA is filed under the name Musa acuminata (dwarf banana). RNAcentral describes it as "long non-coding RNA (MACU_LNC004667)". Lineage: Eukaryota; Viridiplantae; Streptophyta; Magnoliopsida; Zingiberales; Musaceae. The record is from RNAcentral.